AACGAACGCUGGCGGCAUGCCUAACACAUGCAAGUCGAACGAGACCUUCGGGUCUAGUGGCGCACGGGUGCGUAACGCGUGGGAACCUGCCCUUAGGUUCGGAAUAACUCCCCGAAAGGGGUGCUAAUACCGGAUAAUGUCUUCGGACCAAAGAUUUAUCGCCUUUGGAUGGGCCCGCGUUGGAUUAGCUAGUUGGUAGGGUAAAAGCCUACCAAGGCGACGAUCCAUAGCUGGUCUGAGAGGAUGAUCAGCCACACUGGGACUGAGACACGGCCCAGACUCCUACGGGAGGCAGCAGUGGGGAAUAUUGGACAAUGGGCGAAAGCCUGAUCCAGCAAGGCCGCGUGAGUGAUGAAGGCCUUAGGGUUGUAAAGCUCUUUUACCCGGGAUAAUAAUGACAGUACCGGGAGAAUAAGCUCCGGCUAACUCCGU
This 432-nucleotide ribosomal RNA is filed under the name uncultured bacterium. RNAcentral's name for it is "partial 16S ribosomal RNA". It matches the Rfam family "Bacterial small subunit ribosomal RNA", at positions 29 to 506 of the family's 1533-position model. The record is from RNAcentral.